UGGGAUUACAGAUGUGAGAUACCAUGCCCAGCCCAAGGGAGUGAUUAUUUCAAUCACAAGACAUGAAAUCAGGAUGAUGAACACAUUUGGCAAGAAUCUAGUUCCAGGAAACAUGUUUUGAUGCUGCUUAACACAGCUUUUGGAAGUUGAUGAACAUCAUCAAAGUGUGAACCCAUCUCAGCUGACAAGGGGGACACAAAUUUGCUGCCUUCCUAUGUCAGCAUCUGAAGAGAUGGCAUGUGGAUGGGAACCAGCCAGGACAGCUGUGGAGGCAGCCAUAUCGCUGAAGAAGUGCAGGCUGCACCUGACCUUUCCCAGUGACCAAGGCAGUGCACACAGGGCCACACAGGGACAUCCUUCCAUGUUUUAUGGUUUGUAGUUGUUUGACUGAUGAUGACAUUACUGUUUAGACAUUUGGACUGCAAGGAGAAAUCCCACCACAGAUAAGUAGAUCGUCUUGUCUUUGCAUGGGCAUGCUGCCCUGGCUUGUCUGAUGUGUGCAUUAUGGGACGUAUGCACAGGAACAGCUCAGUUACCCACUCACCAGUCGUGAGGGUGCAAGACCUCUAAAAGUGAGGCCUGUAACUUGUUCAUCUUCAAGAUAGAGACUUCACAUUUCGGUGUAAUCACCAUCAACACUUACUGAAUUGAUCCGAAUUCAAUAAAUAUGAAUUCACGGAUAAUCUGCCAAAUUUAAAAUAUUGCCCUAGUGGUUUGGGGUGCACAGAGUUAAGUGAAACCACCCAUUCUUAGGGAUCAUCCAAUGCAGGAGUGCUGGCAUAUUCAUCAGCAAGGGCUGUCACACAGAACAUCACAGGCCCUGUGCUUACGCAACCGUUUCUGCUGAGGCCUCUCUUCCUGCUUAUAGACAGUGCCUUUUCACUUUGAGCUUGCUUGGCCUCUUCUCUGUGCAUGCACAGAGAGAGAGAAAGGGAGAACAGGCAGCCUCUGGCGCCUCUUCCUGUUCUCAUGACACUAGUUAAUAAGGUUCGGUUCUGUGUCCCCACCCAAAUCUCAUCUUGAAUUGUAGCUCCCAUAAUUCCUAC
Molecule: long non-coding RNA, 1046 nt
Filed under: Homo sapiens (human)
Lineage: Eukaryota; Metazoa; Chordata; Mammalia; Primates; Hominidae
Description: HSALNT0324908
Source: RNAcentral